UACGUAGGGUGCGAGCGUUAAUCGGAAUUACUGGGCGUAAAGCGUGCGCAGGCGGUUCGUUAUGUCCGAUGUGAAAGCCCCGAGCUUAACUUGGGAAUGGCAUUGGAAACUGGCGGGCUGGAGUGCGGCAGAGGGGGGUGGAAUUCCACGUGUAGCAGUGAAAUGCGUAGAGAUGUGGAGGAACACCGAUGGCGAAGGCAGCCCCCUGGGCCGACACUGACGCUGAGGCGCGAAAGCUAGGGGAGCAAACGGG
This 253-nucleotide ribosomal RNA is filed under the name uncultured bacterium. RNAcentral's name for it is "partial 16S ribosomal RNA". It matches the Rfam family "Bacterial small subunit ribosomal RNA", at positions 524 to 776 of the family's 1533-position model. The record is from RNAcentral.